GCGGGCGUGGCGGAACUGGCAGACGCGCUAGGUUUAGGUCCUAGUGGCCGAAAGGCCGUGGGGGUUCAAGUCCCUUCGCCCGCACCA
This 87-nucleotide transfer RNA is filed under the name Rhodospirillaceae bacterium. RNAcentral describes it as "tRNA-Leu". It matches the Rfam family "tRNA". From Rfam's summary of the family: Transfer RNA (tRNA) molecules are approximately 80 nucleotides in length. Their secondary structure includes four short double-helical elements and three loops (D, anti-codon, and T loops). Further hydrogen bonds mediate the characteristic L-shaped molecular structure. tRNAs have two regions of fundamental functional importance: the anti-codon, which is responsible for specific mRNA codon recognition, and the 3' end, to which the tRNAs corresponding amino acid is attached (by aminoacyl-tRNA synthetases). tRNAs cope with the degeneracy of the genetic code in two manners: having more than one tRNA (with a specific anti-codon) for a particular amino acid; and 'wobble' base-pairing, i.e. permitting non-standard base-pairing at the 3rd anti-codon position. The record is from RNAcentral. Lineage: Bacteria; Pseudomonadati; Pseudomonadota; Alphaproteobacteria; Rhodospirillales; Rhodospirillaceae.